RNAcentral lists this ribosomal RNA (292 nucleotides) under uncultured eukaryote. RNAcentral's name for it is "partial 18S ribosomal RNA". It matches the Rfam family "Eukaryotic small subunit ribosomal RNA", at positions 6 to 311 of the family's 1831-position model. The record is from RNAcentral.
GGUUGAUCCUGCCAGUAGUCAUAUGCUUGUCUUAAAGACUAAGCCAUGCAUGUCUAAGUAUAAGUAUUAUACAGCGAAACUGCGAAUGGCUCAUUAAAACAGUUAUAGUUUAUUUGAUAAUUCUUUUACAUGGAUAACCGUGGGAAAUCUAGAGCUAAUACAUGCAUAAAGACCUGACUCUCGGAAAGGUUGUAUUUAUUAGAUAGAAACCAAUACCUUCGGGUGUUGUGAUGAUUCAUAAUAACUGAUCGGAUCGCAGCUCGUUCUGCGAUGAAUCAUUCAAGUUUCUGCC